Molecule: non-coding RNA, 639 nt
Organism: Cricetulus griseus (Chinese hamster)
Lineage: Eukaryota; Metazoa; Chordata; Mammalia; Rodentia; Cricetidae
Source: RefSeq, a predicted model, not a curated record
GCGACGACAGCUGGGCGGACGGGACGCAGGAACUUGUGCAGGCCAGAAGUCAUGUGAAGAAUAGGCCCUCUUCUCUCUCAGUUGAUUGUUUCAGGUAUUUCAUCACAGUCAUGCAAAGUUGACAACACACAGGACCUCCAACAAACCUCACAAAUGAACCCUACUCCUCCGUGCAUUGUGAAGAAGCAAUUUUCCAAAAGAGGUCUCACUGAAGAAGGUGUCACCAUGUCUCUAUAAGGCAGAAAUGUAGUCCUGGACAGAGCAAAGUGUAAAUGAAUGACUCCUCCCUGCCAGAAUAGACAAUUAAAGCUGAGAGUCUGCCACAGAGGCGAGAAGCCAAGCUGCAAGGAAGAUUCUGAGCUGCAGAAAAGACUCCUGGAGGAGAAAUGCUGCAAAGAAGACUCUGAGAGCAGCCUGGAAGGAGCAGAAGCCAGCCAAGCACCUGGAAAGGACAAUCCCAACCUGUCAUGCUGCCUGUAGGCUGAGCAGUGUGCCCUAGGUUCCCAGCUUUAUAAGCUCUGACCCAUGCUGAAGUGGGCUUUGGUGAUGCAGGUGUUUUUGAGCCAUUUCUGCUCCUGUAAGUAACCCCUCACCCACACUCCUGUGAGCAACCCCAAUAAAACUCCUUGAUUCACCAAA